RNAcentral lists this ribosomal RNA (2764 nucleotides) under Alphaproteobacteria bacterium. Its description in RNAcentral is "23S ribosomal RNA". It matches the Rfam family "Bacterial large subunit ribosomal RNA". The record is from RNAcentral. Lineage: Bacteria; Pseudomonadati; Pseudomonadota; Alphaproteobacteria.
UUCAAGCGUUAUUAAGGGCAUCUUGUGAAUGCCUUGGCUCUAAGAGGCGAUGAAGGACGUGAUACGCUGCGAUAAGCUGCGGGGAGCUGCGAAUAAGCUUUGAUCCGCGGAUUUCCGAAUUGGGAAACCAACCACGCAAGUGGUAUCUUCCAGUGAAUACAUAGCUGGAUGAAGCAAACUCAGGGAAUUGAAACAUCUCAGUACCUGAAGGAAAGGACAUCAACCGAGACUCCGUUAGUAGUGGCGAGCGAACGCGGACCAGGCCAGUGGUCGUAUGGUAAGAAUUGGAACUGUGCUGGAAAAGCAGGCCAAAGAGGGUGAUAGCCCCGUACAAGUAGAAAGCCAUAUGAUCCUCGAGUAAGGCGGGACACGUGAAAUCCUGUCUGAACAUGGGAGGACCAUCUUCCAAGCCUAAGUACUCCUUAGAGACCGAUAGUGAACAAGUACCGUGAGGGAAAGGUGAAAAGAACCCCGAUGAGGGGAGUGAAAUAGACCUGAAACGAGAUGCCUACAAGCAGUCAGAGCCCCGCAAGGGGUGAUGGCGUACCUUUUGUAUAAUGGGUCUGCGAGUUAGUCUUGCUAGCAAGCUUAAGCCGAUAGGCGUAGGCGAAGGGAAACCGAGUCUGAAUAGGGCGACAAGUUAGUAGGAUUAGACCCGAAACCCGGUGAUCUAACCAUGGCCAGGAUGAAAGUAGGGUAACUCCUACUGGAGGUCCGAACUCGUGACUGUUGAAAAAGUCUGGGAUGAGCUGUGGUUAGGGGUGAAAGGCCAAUCAAACCGGGUAAUAGCUGGUUCUCCGCGAAAUCUAUUUAGGUAGAGCCCUAUGUAAUUUACCCUCGGGGGUAAAGCACUGGAUAGACUAGGGGGGCGCGAGCCCUACCAAAUCUAACCAAACUCUGAAUACCGAGGAGUACUAUCAUAGGAGGCAGUCAUCGGGUGAUAAGGUCCGGUGACGAGAGGGAAAAAGCCCAGACCGACAGCUAAGGUCCCCAAGUCAUAGCUAAGUGAUCCACAAGGAUGUGGAAAUUCCAAAACAACCAGGAGGUUGGCUUAGAAGCAGCCAUCCUUUAAAGAAAGCGUAACAGCUCACUGGUCUAAUUAAGAGUUUCCGCGCCAAAGAUGUAUCGGGGCUCAAGCUAUGCACCGAAGCUUCGGGUGUCAUGUCGCAAGACAUGACGCGGUAGCGGAGCGUUCCGUAAGCCUGCGAAGUUAUCCCGUCAGGGGUGAUGGAGGUAUCGGAAGUGAGAAUGCAGACAUGAGUAGCGAUUAACAGAGUGAGAGACUCUGUCGCCGAAAGACCAAGGGUUCCUGCGCAAGGUUAAUCCACGCAGGGUGAGCCGGUACCCUAAGGUGAGGCCGAAAGGCGUAGCCGAUGGAAAACAGGUUAAUAUUCCUGUGCCUGCUGAAAGUGACGGACACCGAAAUCAGUUUUCUCUUAUUGGAUUGAGAGGGCUGGCCAGGGGUUCCAGGAAAUAGCUUCAGCAUUAUAGUCCGUACCCGAAACCGACACUGGUGGUCAGGUAGAGUAUACCAAGGCGCUUGAGAGAAGAAUGUUGAAGGAACUCGGCAAAUUACAUCCGUAACUUCGGGAUAAGGAUGCCUCAUUAACACGCAAGUGAAUAUGAGGGACACAAAAAUGGUGGUGGCGACUGUUUACCAAAAACACAGGGCUCUGCUAAGUCGUAGAAGACGACGUAUAGGGUCUGACGCCUGCCCGGUGCCGGAAGGUUAAAAGGAGGAGUGCAAGCUCUGAAUUGAAGCCCCGGUAAACGGCGGCCGUAACUAUAACGGUCCUAAGGUAGCGAAACUCCUUGUCGGGUAAGUUCCGACCUGCAUGAAUGGCGUAACGACUUCCACACUGUCUCCAACAUUUCCUCAGCGAAGUUGAAUUCCUCGUGAAGAUGCGGGGUACCCGCGGCUAGACGGAAAGACCCUAUGAACCUUUACUAUAACUUUGCAGUGGCAUUAGAGAUGCCAUGUGUAGCAUAGCUGGGAGACUUUGAAACCGGGGCGCUAGCUCUGGUGGAGUCACAAUGUGAAAUACCAGCCUUGUUAUUUCUGAUGUCUAACCGGUCCUGUUAUCCAGGAUCGGGACCCUGCAUGGCGGGUAGUUUGACUGGGGCGGUCGCCUCCCAAAUUGUAACGGAGGUGCGCAAUGGUUGGCUCAAUCUGGUCGGAAAUCAGAUUAAGAGUGUAUUGGCAUAAGCCAGCCUGACUGCAAGACUGACAAGUCGAGCAGAUACGAAAGUAGGUCAAAGUGAUCCGGUGGUUCUGAAUGGAAGGGCCAUCGCUCAACGAAUAAAAGGUACUCUAGGGAUAACAGGCUGAUACUGCCCAAGCGUCCACAGCGACGGCAGUGUUUGGCACCUCGAUGUCGGCUCAUCUCAUCCUGGGGCUGGAGCAGGUCCCAAGGGUAUGGCUGUUCGCCAUUUAAAGAGGUACGUGAGCUGGGUUCAGAACGUCGUGAGACAGUUCGGUCCCUAUCUACCGUGGGUGUUGGAAUAUUGAGAGGCGCCGUCCCUAGUACGAGAGGACCGGGAUGGACGUACCUCUGGUAGACCUGUUGUCACGCCAGUGGCAUAGCAGGAUAGCUACGUACGGACAGGAUAAACGCUGAAAGCAUCUAAGCGUGAAACCUCCCUCAAAACAAGUAUUCCCCAUAGAGUCGUCGUAGACUACGACGUUGAUAGGCCAGAUGUGUAAGAGCAGCAAUGUUCUAAGCUAACUGGUACUAAUAGCUCGAUCGGCUUGAAUCUAUAUCAC